GUAGUGGCUCAGUGGUAGAGCGCUUGCCUAGCACGUAGGAAGCCCUGGGUUCCAUCCUCAGCACCACA
RNAcentral lists this transfer RNA (68 nucleotides) under Marmota monax (woodchuck). Its description in RNAcentral is "tRNA.Ala". The stretch from base 4 to 62 matches the Rfam family "tRNA", at positions 7 to 64 of the family's 71-position model. From Rfam's summary of the family: Transfer RNA (tRNA) molecules are approximately 80 nucleotides in length. Their secondary structure includes four short double-helical elements and three loops (D, anti-codon, and T loops). The record is from RNAcentral. Lineage: Eukaryota; Metazoa; Chordata; Mammalia; Rodentia; Sciuridae.